CAAAUGCCGCGGGAACUGUCGCAGACUUUUUCGCAGGGAAACAGUUCUGUCAAACAUGAUUUUUGCUAAACUUUAACCAGCGCACGCAGCGUAAGCUCUCAAUAGGAAAAAAUCCCCCGAUUUUGAAACAUUAUUCAUUGGUGCUCCGCUCCUUUUAGUCCUUUUAGUCUUAGCGUGAUAAUAUAAAGCCUAUAAGCCUUCCUCGAUAAAUGGGCUAUCUAAUACUGAAAGAAUUUUUUAAAUCGCGUUCAAUUCAAAUCAAUUAAAGCGCGUUCAAACAAAAAAACUCUUCAGCUUUAUAAUAUUAACUUAUAUUGAGGCUUUGCGUCGGUUUGCUAGUUCAAGUGUGUUGUGCCAUUAGAUGCAGAACAGCCUGGCGCAGGGCAUGUUCAUGGCGGGCGGGCGCGGGUACGGCGGCGCCGCGCUGCAGGGCCCGCUGGCGUAUCUGGAGAAGACUGCCACCAACAUAGACAUGGUGGGUCUGGGCGAUGGACGCAGGUGACGCGGCCGCGGGAGGGGCAGGGGCCGGGGCCGCGGCAGAGGCCGGGGUCGUGGUGCAUCCCCUGAGUAUGGCGGCAGCAUGACGCCGCCGUAGCACCCUCCCGGCGCGCUGCGCUCUCUCCGCUCUCUCCGACACUCUCUCACAACCGCUCAUUGUAGAACAUCGCUCUCUGCGCUACAUCACUAACUUAUCUGUACAGUGGCUAAAAGAGGAUUUAUGUUUACUUCUUUUUGAAUUACGUUGAAUUGAGCGUAUAAUUUUCACGAAUUGUACCCGCUGUGAAUCUAAAUUUUAGAUUUAUAUAUAUUUAUUAUUUUUAAAAGUAUUACACGUAAUAAACUAGGAAAUUUUUCAAGUUACGAGUUUUAAAUUCAUAGGAUUGCUAUUUUUUAAACAGCGCCAUCUAUGUUAGCAUCUGUGUAAACAUGUUUAUAAAUUUACAAUGUAGGUGUCGCUAAAGUUACAGUGGUUUUUUUAUUUGACUUUCAGGGCUCUUGGUUCCAGUAUUUAAAAAAAGUGGCAUAUGAAGAUUCACGUUUUUUCUUCCACUAAUAGUCCAUGAUCAUUCUAUAUUAUCAAAGUGAAUAACCAAGGAUUUUAUAUUUCUGGUCACUACACACUUAGUAUAUUAGCUAAAUUAUUAUUAACAUAUUUUGCACUUGACUUAUUCUAUAAUUUUGGUGAGGAAUAUCUUAUGCGAUGAGUUUAAUUGACUGCUGACCUGAUUCGUUGCCACAUCAUGCUUCCUCAUGCUCUAUAGGUGUCCAUAUACUAACCUUCUCUGUUAUAGAAAACAUAAAAUAUACACUUUUAUUUUAUUAAAUCGGUCGAUACCGUUCUUAAGCUUUAUCGAACUAACGAACCGAUAAUAAGCUAUACUACUACAGAACAAAUAAUAAUAGUUUAUUGUAUUUAAAUACUUUUUUAAUGUAAUUUUUAUACAUUUUAAUAAAUAAUAUAUAUAUCAAAAUAUAUAUUUUUCGUGAUUACAAAAAUAUUUCCGACUUAGGUAGACCUGUACAGUCACUACACUGACACUGUACACACUGUACAGUAUGCUGACAAUUGUCUAG
Long non-coding RNA from Bicyclus anynana (squinting bush brown), 1575 nucleotides. RefSeq lists it as uncharacterized. The transcript has 3 exons. The record is from RefSeq and is a predicted model, not a curated record. NCBI's taxonomy places the organism in Eukaryota, Metazoa, Arthropoda, Insecta, Lepidoptera, Nymphalidae.